RNAcentral lists this ribosomal RNA (1199 nucleotides) under Escherichia coli. RNAcentral's name for it is "partial 23S ribosomal RNA". It matches the Rfam family "Bacterial large subunit ribosomal RNA", at positions 1 to 1231 of the family's 2925-position model. The record is from RNAcentral. Lineage: Bacteria; Pseudomonadati; Pseudomonadota; Gammaproteobacteria; Enterobacterales; Enterobacteriaceae.
GGGUUGUGAGGUUAAGCGACUAAGCGUACACGGUGGAUGCCCUGGCAGUCAGAGGCGAUGAAGGACGUGCUAAUCUGCGAUAAGCGUCGGUAAGGUGAUAUGAACCGUUAUAACCGGCGAUUUCCGAAUGGGGAAACCCAGUGUGAUUCGUCACACUAUCAUUAACUGAAUCCAUAGGUUAAUGAGGCGAACCGGGGGAACUGAAACAUCUAAGUACCCCGAGGAAAAGAAAUCAACCGAGAUUCCCCCAGUAGCGGCGAGCGAACGGGGAGGAGCCCAGAGCCUGAAUCAGUGUGUGUGUUAGUGGAAGCGUCUGGAAAGGCGCGCGAUACAGGGUGACAGCCCCGUACACAAAAAUGCACAUGCUGUGAGCUCGAUGAGUAGGGCGGGACACGUGGUAUCCUGUCUGAAUAUGGGGGGACCAUCCUCCAAGGCUAAAUACUCCUGACUGACCGAUAGUGAACCAGUACCGUGAGGGAAAGGCGAAAAGAACCCCGGCGAGGGGAGUGAAAAAGAACCUGAAACCGUGUACGUACAAGCAGUGGGAGCACGCUUAGGCGUGUGACUGCGUACCUUUUGUAUAAUGGGUCAGCGACUUAUAUUCUGUAGCAAGGUUAACCGAAUAGGGGAGCCGAAGGGAAACCGAGUCUUAACUGGGCGUUAAGUUGCAGGGUAUAGACCCGAAACCCGGUGAUCUAGCCAUGGGCAGGUUGAAGGUUGGGUAACACUAACUGGAGGACCGAACCGACUAAUGUUGAAAAAUUAGCGGAUGACUUGUGGCUGGGGGUGAAAGGCCAAUCAAACCGGGAGAUAGCUGGUUCUCCCCGAAAGCUAUUUAGGUAGCGCCUCGUGAAUUCAUCUCCGGGGGUAGAGCACUGUUUCGGCAAGGGGGUCAUCCCGACUUACCAACCCGAUGCAAACUGCGAAUACCGGAGAAUGUUAUCACGGGAGACACACGGCGGGUGCUAACGUCCGUCGUGAAGAGGGAAACAACCCAGACCGCCAGCUAAGGUCCCAAAGUCAUGGUUAAGUGGGAAACGAUGUGGGAAGGCCCAGACAGCCAGGAUGUUGGCUUAGAAGCAGCCAUCAUUUAAAGAAAGCGUAAUAGCUCACUGGUCGAGUCGGCCUGCGCGGAAGAUGUAACGGGGCUAAACCAUGCACCGAAGCUGCGGCAGCGACGCUUAUGCGUUGUUGGGUAG